Haplochromis burtoni (Burton's mouthbrooder) is the source of this 494-nucleotide long non-coding RNA. RefSeq lists it as uncharacterized. The record is from RefSeq and is a predicted model, not a curated record. Lineage: Eukaryota; Metazoa; Chordata; Actinopteri; Cichliformes; Cichlidae. The transcript is spliced from 3 exons.
GGCUCUCUCAGUCUUCAGGUGGAAUCCCACUUCCUUGUAGGAAGCAGUUCACCUGUGUGUCCAUGUUUAGUGUCCAGGUGUGGAGUGGAGCUUGUUGUUUGUGUGUGUGUUUGAAGAAACUGUGAAGGUAGAAAGUGUGUGUGAGCUGAUGUGGAUGUGAAUUCAGCAGCAUGGAUCGGUGUGAGGACAGAGAGGAGGGAGUCCCUCCCUCUAACUCCACUCUGUGUGGGGAAUAUGAGAGCCAGACCAAAGCUCAGAGGAACCAACCUGGACCUGAACCCAGCUGUGGGUCUGACAAGUCUAAAGAAGAGGGCAUUCAAUUCAUUCAACUUCAGCAAACACAAAGUGAAAAAACAUUUAAUUCAAACAUAAACUAAAGCAGAAAGUAACUGCCUUAUUUGGUCUCUAUCUAUCUAUCUAUCUAUCUAUCUAUCUAUCUAUCUAUCUAUCUAUCUAUCUAUCUAUCUAUCUAUCUGUCUAUCUAUCUAUCUAUC